GUCUAAUCUGCCCAAUGAAAAUUUUAAUGGCUGCAGUAUCAAUAACUGUACAAAGGUAGCAUAAUAAUUAGUUUUUUAAUUAAAAACUAGAAUGAAAGAUUAAAUGAAAUAUAAACUUUAUAAAUAAAAUAAAAAUUAAAAUUAAAUUUUAAGUUAAAAUUCUUAAAUAUAAUUAAAAGACGAGAAGACCCUUUAGAAUUUUAUAUUAAUUUAAAUUAAAAUUAAAAUAUUAUUUAUAUAAAUUUAAACUAAUAUUUAAUUGGGGUAAUUUUUUAAUUUAAUAAACUUUAAAAUAAUAAAACAUUAAUUUAUGAAUUUAUAAACCUAAAAUUUAGAAUUUUAAAAUAAAUUACCUUAGGGAUAACAGCGUAAUUUUUUUUGAAAGUUCACAUUUAUAAAAAAGAUUGCGACCUCGAUGUUGAAUUAAGAUUAA
Molecule: ribosomal RNA, 433 nt
Filed under: Lysiphlebus testaceipes
Lineage: Eukaryota; Metazoa; Arthropoda; Insecta; Hymenoptera; Braconidae
Description: partial 16S ribosomal RNA
Source: RNAcentral